This 148-nucleotide ribosomal RNA is filed under the name Lachnospiraceae bacterium. RNAcentral describes it as "partial 23S ribosomal RNA". It matches the Rfam family "Bacterial large subunit ribosomal RNA", at positions 2778 to 2925 of the family's 2925-position model. Lineage: Bacteria; Bacillati; Bacillota; Clostridia; Lachnospirales; Lachnospiraceae. The record is from RNAcentral.
CAUCUAAGCGUGAAGCCCCCCUCAAGAUGGGAUAUCUCAUACGCAAGUAGUAAGACCCCUUAAAGACGAUAAGGUAGAUAGGGCAGAGGUGUAAGCAUAGUGAUAUGUAGAGCUGACUGCUACUAAUCGGUCGAGGGUUUAACCAGAA